GUAGUUAGCCGGGGCUUCCUCCUCGGGUACCGUCACUUCCUUCUUCCCCAAGGACAGAAGUUUACAAUCCGAAAACCUUCUUCCUUCACGCGGCGUUGCUGGGUCAGGCUUUCGCCCAUUGCCCAAUAUUCCCCACUGCUGCCUCCCGUAGGAGUCUGGGCCGUAUCUCAGUCCCAGUGUGGCCGAUCAACCUCUCAGUCCGGCUACCCAUCGCCGACUUGGUGGGCCUUUACCCUCACCAACUAUCUAAUGGGACGCGAGCCCCUCUUUCAGCGGAUUUCUCCUUUUACCCCUUGAUCAUGUGAUCUUGUGGUCUCAUGCGGUAUUAGCAUCAGUUUCCCGAUGUUAUCCCCCUCUGAAAGGCAGGUUGCUCACGCGUUACUCACCCGUUCGCCACUAAAAAUAUCCCGUUUCCAGCCGAAACCUUCCACUGGAUAUUCUCCGUUCGACUUGCAUGUGUUAAGCACGCCGCCAGCGUUCGUCCUGAGCCAGAAUCGAACCUCGACGUACGUAGACGGCGGUGGCGACGACGGCGACUA
This 539-nucleotide ribosomal RNA is filed under the name uncultured bacterium. RNAcentral's name for it is "partial 16S ribosomal RNA". The record is from RNAcentral.